RNAcentral lists this ribosomal RNA (1056 nucleotides) under Triticum aestivum (bread wheat). RNAcentral describes it as "partial small subunit ribosomal RNA". Lineage: Eukaryota; Viridiplantae; Streptophyta; Magnoliopsida; Poales; Poaceae. The record is from RNAcentral.
AUGUCCAAGUGUCGGCAGGAGCAGGUAAACUACAGGGGCCGUGUCGACAAGAAGUUGCGGCCUGUGCAGAGGCAGAAGCACCUCUAUCUGGUGCUAGAUGACUGGACGAAGGACUUUUCCAUCCGCAAGAUUGACAUCGACACCUUGGACGGCAGCUCCGACCUAGACUUGGAGCCCCCGAUUCUUCGACUAGUGUCACCUUCACCUACUUAUCCCAUGAACUUUGCUGCCCUGGGCAGCAAAAUCUUCAUGGCGAGCAACAAACACCCUAGCACCAUGGUCUACGACGCAGAGACAGCUGGACUGGCCAUCGGCCCUCCUCUCCCGGCUGGACUGCACGGCGGCAUCCACAUCUUUGUGGCUACUGCCAACAUGCAGUUGUAUGUGUUGAAGUAUAGCAUCAAGGACAUGCGGCAGUCAUUUCAGGUGCUGUCCGCGGUCGGCAUCACGGAUCCCCAUUCUUCAAAUCCAAGCACUGACUGGUGUUGGACAAGCGUGCCCUUUCCAAUGCCAUUCACCAAGGAUGACAUGAUCACCUCCUACGCCAUGCACCCGGAUGGACACAUUAUCUUCAUGUCUGCUAGCAGCAGGCGCGAUCUACGUCACACCUUCUCCUUUGACACCAGGUGGCAAGAGUGGAGGUGUCUUGGGGAAUGGGCAUUGCCUUUCCAAGGACAAGGCUACUUUGACAGUGAGUUGGAUGCAUGGGUUGGCCUUCACAAGGAUGGGUACAUUUGUUCCUGCCAAGCCGCUUCGUGCACCAACACAGUUACCAUGCAGCCGGACUGGAAGACGACCAAGGAGAAACUUUUCCUCAAGCACUCGGGUGCCACCCUCACGUACAUGGGGAACACCAGGUUUUGCCUUGUGAAGAGUGUGGUAUGUGAAGAGUGGAGUGAUGAUGCCUUUGAUGACUGUAAUGGCUUCAUGCUAUGCAUCACCAUUUUUUGUCUCAAGUACAAUCGUGAGGGAGAGCUGCAAACCACCAUCCGCCGCACCACCAAAUCCUAUCAAGUGUCUAAGCAUGUCACGUCAUUUUCUCCCGUGGCGUUCUAG